Molecule: ribosomal RNA, 447 nt
Filed under: uncultured bacterium
Lineage: Bacteria
Description: SSU rRNA
Rfam family: Bacterial small subunit ribosomal RNA
Source: RNAcentral
AGAGCGAACGCUGGCGGCAGGCCUAACACAUGCAAGUCGAGCGCCCGUAGCAAUACGGGAGCGGCAGACGGGAUAGUAACACGUGGGAACGCGCCCUUCGGUUCGGAAUAACUCAGGGAAACUUGAGCUAAUACCGGAUACGCCCUUACGGGGAAAGAUUUAUUGCCGAAGGAACGGCCCGCGUCCGAUUAGCUAGUUGGUGAGGUAAUGGCUCACCAAGGCGACGAUCGGUAGCUGGUCUGAGAGGAUGACCAGCAUCACUGGGACUGAGACACGGCCCAGACUCCUACGGGAGGCAGCAGUGGGGAAUCUUGCACAAUGGGCGAAAGCCUGAUGCAGCAACGCCGCGUGAGGGACGAAGGCUUUCUGAGUUGUAAACCUCUUUCAGCAGGGACGAUUGUGACGGUACCUGCAGAGAAGCCCCGGCAACUACGCGCCAGCAGCCGC